Triticum aestivum (bread wheat) is the source of this 1313-nucleotide long non-coding RNA. RefSeq lists it as uncharacterized. The record is from RefSeq and is a predicted model, not a curated record. NCBI's taxonomy places the organism in Eukaryota, Viridiplantae, Streptophyta, Magnoliopsida, Poales, Poaceae. The transcript is spliced from 7 exons.
ACUUGAAAAAAAAACUGGGCCGGAGAGGGGAGAGAUGGAGUGAGGGGCAAGCAGACGACCUCGCCGCCGGCGAGGGUUAUGGGCAGGAGAAUGCUUCGUCUCUGGCCAAUCCCCCCACCCCCUCCCACCCGUACAGCGACUGUACCGCCCUGCCCGGCCAAGUCCCCCCUCGCUCCCCGCGCCCGCCGCGAAGUGGAUCCCCCCGGCGCGACCCGGCGGCGACGACGAGAAAACAAAACCAAAGGAGAGCCCACUAUUUGAAGCAGAAAACUGAAGCAAGAGAACUUGGUUGCCUGGAAUUGCACAUGGAGGUCCAUGAAUGUCCAAGUGAUUGGAUGUGCAACUGUGCAUGCCGGGAAAAUAAUUGAGCUUCAGCAACCACGAGAAGAAUAGCAUUGACUUGAGAUGGCUUGCGGUCCUUGCUCUCUCUAAGACAGUAAACUAUUUUGAUCAUCAUACUACUAAACUGAGAUUUCCACCAUACUUGCUAUGGCAGGUGCUUGGCUCCUAGAAUGAUCGAAAAGACAGGGAGCAAUAGAUGAAAGAGUUUAAGUACAUAGAGGUGGACAAGAAUAUAGCUGUUCCUUUGGAUUGAUGCUCGCUCUGUCAAAACAUUCCUUUUAAUCUCUAUCCUAAAGCAAGCCCACAAGGAGGAGGUCACCAGCACCACAAGUCCAGAUCUACAUCGAUUACAGGUCAGGUUCGCUGCCCUUAAUUUGGUUUUGCUCCUGGGUAGCUAGGUCGAUGCUAAUCGAUUACAGGUCAGUGCUGUUCUUUAGAUCUGAUGGGUACCUCAAGUUGAAGAUCGAAGCCAACUACUCUACUUGUCAUCAACAACAAGCCCAGCACACUUUCAGCCACACCCAUGACUCCAUGAGGGUUCAGGAUCUCCAUGAUUCGCAAAUGCACAAGGAGGUCGCCAACAUGGAUCGGAUCUAAGCCAUUUCGAAGCAGCACCAGUAAGCACGAUAGAGAUUUCUCUUGGAAGGACGAGCUUCUUAAUUUGUGACGACGCCAAGGUCUGGUGAGCGGGAAAUGGCCAUUCUAUUGAUAUUUGAGUAAGUAUACAACUAGGCAACCACCCAUCAGAAGCCAGGUAUGCUGGUGCUUCUUUGGUUUUGAUGUGUAAAAGGAAGGAGGAUUCUUCAAGUUGAAGAUCAAAUCCAGCUACGUUUCAUCAACAAAAAGCUAGCACGCUCUCAGUCGUACCCAUGGCUCCAUGAGGGUUCAGGAUCUCCAUGGUUAAGCUUCGAUGACAAGUUGACAACCUCAACAGCCAAGUCAUGAGGUCCCUAGUUUUUUGUGAGGAUCCA